Molecule: long non-coding RNA, 697 nt
Filed under: Homo sapiens (human)
Lineage: Eukaryota; Metazoa; Chordata; Mammalia; Primates; Hominidae
Description: non-protein coding lnc-DGKB-1:1
Source: RNAcentral
CGCCACAUCCUGAUUCACAUUGGAGAAAAGCCUUUUAUUUGUGCAGCUAGUGGCUGUGAUAAAAAAAAAAAAAAGAAUCCCACAGAAAAUCCAACUGGAAGAAACAUUUUGCAUGCAAACAUGAAAAUCUGCAAAAGCAAUAUGUAUGCAAUUUUGAAGGAUGUAAGAAGACCUUUAAGAAGCAUCAGCAGCUGAAAAUCCAUCAGUGCCAGCAUGAAAAUAAACCCCUAUUCAAGUUUAACCUUGAAGGAUGUGGAAAACACUUUGUUUCACCCUCCAGGCUGGGAGGACAGAUGCAGGUUCAUCAGAAAAUUAUAUGUCAAUAGGGAUGUUCUUUUGUGGCAGAAACAUGGACAGAGAGAAAUCCAUAGAAAGGAAAUAACAUGAUGUAUGCCAGAAAACAUUCAAAUGUGAAGAUUAUCUCAGAUAACCUGUGAAAACUCAUGCCUCAGAAAGAGAUGUAUGUCAACAUCCAAGAGAAGACUGCAGAAGAACUGUAUUUAAUCUCCAGAGCUGUCUUCUUUCUUUUCAUAAGGAGAAGCACCCAUUUAUGUGUGAACAUGCUGGCUGUGGCAAAAGGUUGGCUAUGAAACAAACUCUCACAAGACAUGCUAUUGUGUAUGAGCUUGACAGGAAGAAAAUAAAGAUCAAAGUAAAGCUAUCUUCUGAAAAAUGAAAUUUGGCCUCUCAUCUCAGU